AAACGACUCUCGACAACGGAUAUCUCGGCUCUCGCAUCGAUGAAGAACGUAGCGAAAUGCGAUACUUGGUGUGAAUUGCAGAAUCCCGUGAACCAUCGAGUCUUUGAACGCAAGUUGCGCCCAAAGCCAUUAGGCUGAGGGCACGUCUGCCUGGGCGUCACG
Molecule: ribosomal RNA, 162 nt
Filed under: Pogostemon yatabeanus
Lineage: Eukaryota; Viridiplantae; Streptophyta; Magnoliopsida; Lamiales; Lamiaceae
Description: 5.8S ribosomal RNA
Rfam family: 5.8S ribosomal RNA
About the family: 5.8S ribosomal RNA (5.8S rRNA) is a component of the large subunit of the eukaryotic ribosome. It is transcribed by RNA polymerase I as part of the 45S precursor that also contains 18S and 28S rRNA.
Source: RNAcentral